AUUGAACGCUGGCGGCAGGCCUAACACAUGCAAGUCGAACGAGUGGCGGACGGGUGAGUAAUGUCUGGGAAACUGCCCGAUGGCGGGGGAUAACUACUGGACACGGUAGCUAAUAACGCAUACCAUCGGAUGUGCCCAGAUGGGCUUGGCUAGUAGGUGGGGUAAAGGCUCACCAAGGCGCCGAUCCCUAGCUGGUCUGGGAGGAUGACCAGCCACACUGGAACUGAGACACGGUGCAGACUCCUACGGGAGGCAGCAGUGGGGAAUAUUGCACAAGGGGCGCAAGCCUGAUGCAGCCAUGCCGCGUGUAUGAAGAAGGCCUUCGGGUUGUAAAGUACUUUCAGCGGGGAGGCGUUACCCGCAGAAUAAGCACCGGCUAACUCCGUGCCAGCAGCCGCGGUAAUAC
RNAcentral lists this ribosomal RNA (406 nucleotides) under uncultured bacterium. RNAcentral's name for it is "partial 16S ribosomal RNA". It matches the Rfam family "Bacterial small subunit ribosomal RNA", at positions 30 to 526 of the family's 1533-position model. The record is from RNAcentral.